AUUGAACGCUGGCGGCAUGCCUUACACAUGCAAGUCGAACGGCAGCACGGGUGCUUGCACCUGGUGGCGAGUGGCGAACGGGUGAGUAAUACAUCGGAACAUGUCCUGUAGUGGGGGAUAGCCCGGCGAAAGCCGGAUUAAUACCGCAUACGAUCUACGGAUGACAGCGGGGGAGCUGCGGGCUUCGCGCUAUAGGGUUUGCCGCUGGCUGAUUAGCUAGUUGGUGGGGUAAAGGCCUACCAAGGCGACGAUCAGGAGCUGUUCUGAGAGGACGACCAGCCACACUGGGACUGAGCCACGGCCCAGACUCCUGCGGGAGGCAGCAGUGGGGAAUUUUGGACAAUGGGCGAAAGCCUGAUCCAGCAAUGCCGCGUGUGUGAAGAAGGCCUUCGGGUUGUAAAGCACUUUUGUCCGGAAAGAAAUCCUUGGCUCUAAUACAGUCGGGGGAUGACGGUACCGGAAGAAUAAGCACCGGCUAACUACGUG
Molecule: ribosomal RNA, 486 nt
Filed under: uncultured bacterium
Lineage: Bacteria
Description: partial 16S ribosomal RNA
Rfam family: Bacterial small subunit ribosomal RNA
Source: RNAcentral